This 317-nucleotide ribosomal RNA is filed under the name uncultured eukaryote. Its description in RNAcentral is "partial 18S ribosomal RNA". It matches the Rfam family "Eukaryotic small subunit ribosomal RNA", at positions 1470 to 1796 of the family's 1831-position model. The record is from RNAcentral.
CCCUUAGAUGUUCUGGGCUGCACGCGUGCUACACUGAUUACUUCAACAAGUGUUUUAACUGGAGAGUUCGCGUAAUCCUGAAAUGUUAUCGUGAUGGGAGUAGAGUAUUGUAUUUGUUAAUCUUUAACGAGGAAUUCCUAGUAAGUGUAGGUUUAUAAGUUGUUCUGAUUACGUCCCUGCCCUUUGUACACACCGCCCGUCGCUCCUACCGAUUGAAUGUUCCGGUGAGCUCUUCGGACUGCGCGGUCUGCAGUUUCUGCGUUCCGUGCGGAAAGUUGCGCAAACCUUAACAUUUAGAGGAAGGAGAAGUCGUAACA